RNAcentral lists this ribosomal RNA (1543 nucleotides) under Escherichia coli. Its description in RNAcentral is "bacterial SSU rRNA". It matches the Rfam family "Bacterial small subunit ribosomal RNA". The record is from RNAcentral. Lineage: Bacteria; Pseudomonadati; Pseudomonadota; Gammaproteobacteria; Enterobacterales; Enterobacteriaceae.
AAAUUGAAGAGUUUGAUCAUGGCUCAGAUUGAACGCUGGCGGCAGGCCUAACACAUGCAAGUCGAACGGUAACAGGAAACAGCUUGCUGUUUCGCUGACGAGUGGCGGACGGGUGAGUAAUGUCUGGGAAACUGCCUGAUGGAGGGGGAUAACUACUGGAAACGGUAGCUAAUACCGCAUAACGUCGCAAGACCAAAGAGGGGGGACCUUCGGGCCUCUUGCCAUCGGAUGUGCCCAGAUGGGAUUAGCUAGUAGGUGGGGUAACGGCUCACCUAGGCGACGAUCCCUAGCUGGUCUGAGAGGAUGACCAGCCACACUGGAACUGAGACACGGUCCAGACUCCUACGGGAGGCAGCAGUGGGGAAUAUUGCACAAUGGGCGCAAGCCUGAUGCAGCCAUGCCGCGUGUAUGAAGAAGGCCUUCGGGUUGUAAAGUACUUUCAGCGGGGAGGAAGGGAGUAAAGUUAAUACCUUUGCUCAUUGACGUUACCCGCAGAAGAAGCACCGGCUAACUCCGUGCCAGCAGCCGCGGUAAUACGGAGGGUGCAAGCGUUAAUCGGAAUUACUGGGCGUAAAGCGCACGCAGGCGGUUUGUUAAGUCAGAUGUGAAAUCCCCGGGCUCAACCUGGGAACUGCAUCUGAUACUGGCAAGCUUGAGUCUCGUAGAGGGGGGUAGAAUUCCAGGUGUAGCGGUGAAAUGCGUAGAGAUCUGGAGGAAUACCGGUGGCGAAGGCGGCCCCCUGGACGAAGACUGACGCUCAGGUGCGAAAGCGUGGGGAGCAAACAGGAUUAGAUACCCUGGUAGUCCACGCCGUAAACGAUGUCGACUUGGAGGUUGUGCCCUUGAGGCGUGGCUUCCGGAGCUAACGCGUUAAGUCGACCGCCUGGGGAGUACGGCCGCAAGGUUAAAACUCAAAUGAAUUGACGGGGGCCCGCACAAGCGGUGGAGCAUGUGGUUUAAUUCGAUGCAACGCGAAGAACCUUACCUGGUCUUGACAUCCACGGAAGUUUUCAGAGAUGAGAAUGUGCCUUCGGGAACCGUGAGACAGGUGCUGCAUGGCUGUCGUCAGCUCGUGUUGUGAAAUGUUGGGUUAAGUCCCGCAACGAGCGCAACCCUUAUCCUUUGUUGCCAGCGGUCCGGCCGGGAACUCAAAGGAGACUGCCAGUGAUAAACUGGAGGAAGGUGGGGAUGACGUCAAGUCAUCAUGGCCCUUACGACCAGGGCUACACACGUGCUACAAUGGCGCAUACAAAGAGAAGCGACCUCGCGAGAGCAAGCGGACCUCAUAAAGUGCGUCGUAGUCCGGAUUGGAGUCUGCAACUCGACUCCAUGAAGUCGGAAUCGCUAGUAAUCGUGGAUCAGAAUGCCACGGUGAAUACGUUCCCGGGCCUUGUACACACCGCCCGUCACACCAUGGGAGUGGGUUGCAAAAGAAGUAGGUAGCUUAACCUUCGGGAGGGCGCUUACCACUUUGUGAUUCAUGACUGGGGUGAAGUCGUAACAAGGUAACCGUAGGGGAACCUGCGGUUGGAUCACCUCCUUA